UGUAACCACUAGUAAAUGCGAUUAUUUUAUUCAAAUACACUAAUUUCAUCAUAGGGGUAGAGUGAUUGUUACAUUACAUAAAUCAAAAGACCAGUCCAAAGUUUAACAUAUAAAUUCAUUUUGGCACUCAUCACAACAUUAUUAACAGGACAUAUAUUAUCUUUUGUAACAUGCAAAACAAAGAAAAAUAUCAUUUAAAACCAUAGUUGAAACAGCCAAAGCUCAAAUAUUUCAACCAAAGGGCAAGAGCUAGUUUCACCAAUGUCACAUUAUUGACUAGCUGAACAAAAUUAACGACAACAAACUCGAAGAUUAUCCAAUCUAUCCUCGCAUGAGCUCAGUACCUGUGGUGGAGCUUCUCCUGUUCCACGAAGUGCAUAGCAUACCUACAUUCAUACGGGAUAUUUAACAUUCACAAGUUAACCACCAACUGCGAGAGAUUGAUAUUUUUGGCUACGUGGCCCAGAUACAUAAUUCAAUGCUAAUAGGGAAAUAUGAAUUUUCGUUAAAAAUAAAACACUGCAAAUAUACAUCAACCCACAAAUAAUGUUCACAAUUUAGAGAAAAAACCUCGUAAUCACAAUGAGAAAAAGAAAAGAAAAAAAAAUACAUAUGUUUUCCCUUGUCCAUGUCACAAAAUAUAUCCUUUUUCCAAUUAACUUUUCAUACAUCUAAUGUCAAAAUGCCAGAAGUGAUCAUUAGGUCCAAUUCUCUUAUACAAGAUAAGUCUUGACUCUGCACAAUUACUUAUUAUUCACUACCUAAUGGCUAAUGCUAUUGCUUACCAUAUCAUAUUCAAUUCCCCUAUUCCCAGUAUUAAGAAAAAAACAUGGCUACUGUGUAUGCCUGUAUGGUUCAUCAACAGACAACUUUGCCUAUUCAAGAAAUCCCCUUCUAUUAUCACAAGUGGAUACUUACAUCACCACUAAUGUCCCACAAUUUUGUCCCUUUUUUUAACUGUUACCUAUCCCUAUACAAAACUCACAUUAGAACAAAAGCCUCCACUUAAUAUUGGAUCUAUUUUGGAGGGGGAGUGUUGAGAAUUUAAAAUUAUGUUAUGAUACUAUGUGAAUACUAUGUCAUAAAUAAGAUAGACCUAGAGCUGAUUCAAUAUUAUGUGAAUAUUAUGUAGUAAUAGGCUUGGUUUUUGUUGUGAAUAUUAUGUUGUAAAUAGGAUAGACCAAGAGCUGAUUUGAUUAUGGUCUAGCCCCUAACCAAGGGAUUUGGUUGUACUCGUUAAUUAGUAUAAAUAAACACAUUGAAGGAUACUUCUGCAGGCAUUCAAAUCAAUAUAUGUUCCAAAUUCAAGUAUGUUGAGAUCAGAGAAAUUCAGAAAACCAUCCUGUCACAUUCUUCUUGACACAACACACAAACAGAGACAUUGAAGUCCAUUCAAAAACUCGAUGUCUACUUCCCACUUCAAGGCUUCAAGAUGAAGCAGAUUUUAGUUUUCAAUAUUUGAUACCAAAACAGAAGGAAAGAAGAAUUUCUACUAAAACUUAAAGAGGAUAUUAAUCCAUUGAAAAGCAUACCAAACUAAGUUCAUGUAUGGACGCACAAUGGAAAAAGUGAAAUGAUUUCCACCAGGCAAUCAUUCCGUAUGAUUGGUUACUAUGUGUCAUAAAUUGUUAGCUACAAUCUUGGUGACUAAACAAUGAUGCUUUGUAUUAAGUUGAAAUUUUUCACCAAAUUUUAGCUAAAACUUACUUUUCAAGUAUAAAAAACUAGAACUAUAAACCAUUUCAAUUCAAACCUCUGAAGCAAAACACAAUACUUAGACAACAGACUUGACACUAACACAUAGACAUCAAUAAUAGCUUAAGUUAAUGCAAUCACAUGUAUAAGUGCCAGACACCGUACACGUCUUUAAACUCAAUUAUAACCAAAUCUUUUACAAAAUCAAAUUCAUUUGAAACCAACAAAAGUUGACCACAAAAAUUCACCAAAUAGAAUCAUAACAAGCAAGUUGAACAGCAAACACCGAGCAAAAACCUAUCAGAAUACUGUUCAUUUCAAUAUUCAUUCAAAUGAAAUUUUCUCUUUCUCCUAGCAAUUCAAUCCUAAAAAAAUAUAAAAAUACAAUCCAUAAGCAGACUCAAUCAAGAAAAAUCAACAAUACCAUAACAUGUUUUCUUCAAGUAAAAAUUAAUCAAAAGAUCUAUCCUUUUUGGAUCUAUUUUGUUUCACUCCACAUAAUAAUUAAAGGAGCAUGUGCUCUAAUUUCUUUCACACCUUCAAGAAGAAUGCUACACGAGAAAUUUAAGGCAAGUUUUUGGGACUGCAUCACAGCAUAUUGGUCAAUAAUUUCUUUUCAAAAAGUGCAAAGAAUUGGCCAGUAGCCCAAUACUCCCUAGAUGCAUUUCUAGUUUAUGAAACAUUGUUACAUAUGGCAAAGGGCGUGAGCAUGACACUGAUACAUUUGAUUUUGAAGACUUAACAGGCUCCAAUCACAGCUACUUACUUUAUAGGCAAUUCUAAGGAGAGGUGAAUCUUUCUAACCAUGGGAUGCACUUUGAGACUCAUGGUAAUACUAAAUUUUAACAAACUAACUUUUAGGAAAUAAUUACCAAGUGAAAUAAUUUACUUUUGUAUAAAUUUGUAGUAGUGCAAAUGAGCAGUCAUACAAUUCUGUGUUUCAUGAAUAUCGGCAUGGGCAAUGGUUACAAUUAAUUUUUUUACAAACGGUUUAGAUCAAAUAUCAUUUUAAUUAGCAUGUGUGAACAUGUGCCUUUUUAAUUGAGGAAUUUAAUAUUGAUCGUUUGCUUUGAGCCAACAGUUUUUAUUGUUAAUAUUAUAUCCUUUCACUCUCAUAUUAACUAGCUCCCCUCACUUGCUAUGCCCCCUAUAUAUAAUGAUUAUGAUCUUAGCUAUAUGUGUGUGUGUGUGUGUGUCUUUGUAUAUAAUUUUAUAUUUUAGGUAGCAUUUUAUGAUGUUUCACAAUCUCAGAUCAUAAAAUAGGAUGUCAGUUAAGAUAAAACGUAUUGCGCCAUCAAUAUUAGAUGACACUACCAAAACAGGGAUUAAAUACAUUAACAAAACAGUCGUAAAUAUGUUGUUGAUGAAGUGCCAUUCAGAAAACCUUAAUGUCACAUUCUUAUCGACACAACAUACAAACACAGACAUAUAAAAUGCUUGAAUAGUUACUAUUUAAACCCGUCCAUCAAGAAUAUUGUUGGAAACCUAACUCUGACUUCAAGAUGAAGUAGGUUUUAAUUUUUAGUUCUCAAUACAAAAAACAGCUGCUAACAAUCAAAGAGAUCACCAAUCCAUUAAGAAGCAUAACAAACUAAGUUCAUGUCUAGAUUUACAGUGGAAAAAACGAAGAGAUUUCAUCCAGGCAAUCGUGAAUUUUUUUAUGGCUAACACUUAACACUAACUAAAUAAGUUGUUAGGUUGAAAAUUUUAGGCCAAGUUUUACAUCAAUCUUGUUUUUUAAAAAUAACACAAGAAACAUAACUUUCAGUUCAAAGUCAAUUUUAACCAAAUAAGUUUUACAAAACAAAAAUCAUUUGAAAUCAAAAAAGGUCAACCACAACAACAUACAUUCAAAUAGAAUCAUAACAAACAGUUCAACCGGUCUCGAGGCAAGGCAAAAACAAACACAAAGGAACUACUCCACACAAAAUGUAUAAAAACCUAAAAUGUUAGCAACUUCAAUUCAAUGAAGCACCAUCACAAACUCAAACUCAAUUUUAAGGAAAACAACUUCACAAGACCAAAUUCAUUUGAAAUCAACAAACAGUUUAGCAUCAAAAUUAAUAAAUCAAUUCAGUAUUCAUUAAAAUGAAUUUUUAUCCAUUUCUCCUAGCAAUUCAAUUCUAUAAUCAAAACAAAAAUCAACACAAUCCACAGCCAUACUCAAUCAACAAAAAUUAUCAAUAAAUAGAUCUGACUAAAUCCCUAGGUAAAAAUAAUUAAGAUCAAAACCGUUGAAAACCGCAAAAUCAAAUCUAGCUUGUAAAACAACAAGAAUCAUAAUGAUUAAAUUGAGAAAGAGAAUUACGAGUAGGUGCCGACGACGGGAACAACCAAUAGAAGAGCGCUGAUCCAAUUUUCGGAGACUUUGUGAUGAAUUUUGGUGGGAAGAUCCUUCCACAGACCGGGCAUGAUUUUCUGCUGGAAAGGAGAAAGAGCAUACACCACAGAUUUUACAGGAACGAUGUUUUUACCCAUCUUCGAGAAUAAUCGAUUCAACAACGACGCUAAGGAAUGAAUGAGCGAGAGCGAGAAUGAGAAUGCGAAUGAAA
Molecule: long non-coding RNA, 4247 nt
Filed under: Medicago truncatula (barrel medic)
Lineage: Eukaryota; Viridiplantae; Streptophyta; Magnoliopsida; Fabales; Fabaceae
Description: lncRNA gene32204
Source: RNAcentral